UCCUGCCGGACCUGACUGCUAUCGGAUUGAUACUAAGCCAUGCGAGUCUUUGUAGUAAUACAAGGCAGACGGCUCAGUAACACGUAGUCAACCUACCCUAUGGACAAGAAUAAUCUCGGGAAACUGGGCAUAAUUCUUGAUAGAUCAUAAUGCCUGGAAUGGUUUAUGGUUAAAAUGAUUCGUCGCCAUAGGAUGGGACUGCGGCCUAUCAGUUUGUUGGUGAGGUAAUGGCCCACCAAGACUAUUACAGGUACGGGCUCUGAGAGGAGUAGCCCGGAGAUGGGUACUGAGACACGAAUCCAGGCCCUACGGGGCGCAGCAGGCGCGAAAACUUGACAAUGCGAGAAAUCGUGAUCAGGGGACUCCAGUUGGCUGGAUCAAAAGUCCAGUCUGAACCGACUUUAAAUCGGUCGGGUAAUAGGGGCGGGAAAGACCGGUGCCAGCCGCCGCGGUAAUACCGGCGCCCCAAGUGGUCGUCACUAUUAUUGGGCCUAAAACGUCCGUAGCCGGUUUGGUAAAUCCGUGGGUAAAUCAGACAGCCCAACUGUCUGAAUUCUGCGGGGACUGCCAGACUUGAGACCGGGAGAGGUGCGGGGUACCUGCGGGGUACCGGUAAAAUGGGAUCAUCCCGUAGAGACCACCUGUUGCGAAGGCGCCGCACUAGAACGGAUCUGACGGUCAGGGACGAAGCCUAGGGGCACGAACCGGAUUAGAUACCCGGGUAGUCCUAGGUGUAAACGCUGUGGACUUGGUGUCGGGGACCUUCUGAGGGUCUCCGGUGCCGGAGUGAAGAUGUUAAGUCCACUGCCUGGGGAG
This 816-nucleotide ribosomal RNA is filed under the name uncultured Candidatus Poseidoniales archaeon. RNAcentral's name for it is "SSU rRNA". It matches the Rfam family "Archaeal small subunit ribosomal RNA", at positions 12 to 835 of the family's 1478-position model. The record is from RNAcentral. Lineage: Archaea; Methanobacteriati; Thermoplasmatota; Candidatus Poseidoniia; Candidatus Poseidoniales.